Molecule: ribosomal RNA, 472 nt
Filed under: uncultured bacterium
Lineage: Bacteria
Description: partial 16S ribosomal RNA
Rfam family: Bacterial small subunit ribosomal RNA
Source: RNAcentral
GACGAACGCUGGCGGCGUGCUUAACACAUGCAAGUCGAACGAUGAACCCGGAGCUUGCUCUGGGGGAUUAGUGGCGAACGGGUGAGUAACACGUGAGUAACCUGCCCUGGACUCUGGGAUAAGCGUUGGAAACGACGUCUAAUACCGGAUAGGACCUUGGAUCGCAUGAUCUGGGGUGGAAAGUUUUUUCGGUCUGGGAUGGACUCGCGGCCUAUCAGCUUGUUGGUGAGGUAAUGGCCCACCAAGGCGUCGACGGGUAGCCGGCCUGAGAGGGUGACCGGCCACACUGGGACUGAGACACGGCCCAGACUCCUACGGGAGGCAGCAGUGGGGAAUAUUGCACAAUGGGCGAAAGCCUGAUGCAGCAACGCCGCGUGCGGGAUGACGGCCUUCGGGUUGUAAACCGCUUUUAGUAGGGAAGAAGGGCUUCGGCUUGACGGUACCUGCAGAAAAAGGACCGGCUAACUACGUG